RNAcentral lists this ribosomal RNA (253 nucleotides) under uncultured bacterium. RNAcentral's name for it is "partial 16S ribosomal RNA". It matches the Rfam family "Bacterial small subunit ribosomal RNA", at positions 524 to 776 of the family's 1533-position model. The record is from RNAcentral.
UACAGAGGGGGCAAGCGUUAUUCGGAAUUAUUGGGCGUAAAGGGCGCGUAGGCGGCUUGGCAAGUGGAUGGUGAAAUCCCUCGGCUUAACCGAGGAACUGCCGUCCAAACUGCUUCGCUUGAGACCGGGAGAGGUGAGUGGAAUUCCCAGUGUAGCGGUGAAAUGCGUAGAUAUUGGGAGGAACACCAGUGGCGAAGGCGGCUCACUGGACCGGUACUGACGCUGAGGCGCGAAAGCGUGGGGAGCAAACAGG